UACGAAGGGGGCUAGCGUUGUUCGGAAUUACUGGGCGUAAAGCGCGUGUAGGCGGGUCUUUAAGUCAGGGGUGAAAUGCCAAGGCUCAACCUUGGAACUGCCUUUGAUACUGGAGAUCUUGAGUCCGGGAGAGGUGAGUGGAACUGCGAGUGUAGAGGUGAAAUUCGUAGAUAUUCGCAAGAACACCAGUGGCGAAGGCGGCUCACUGGCCCGGAACUGACGCUGAGACACGAAAGCGUGGGUAGCAAACAGG
Molecule: ribosomal RNA, 253 nt
Filed under: uncultured bacterium
Lineage: Bacteria
Description: partial 16S ribosomal RNA
Rfam family: Bacterial small subunit ribosomal RNA
Source: RNAcentral